RNAcentral lists this ribosomal RNA (471 nucleotides) under uncultured bacterium. Its description in RNAcentral is "partial 16S ribosomal RNA". It matches the Rfam family "Bacterial small subunit ribosomal RNA", at positions 28 to 507 of the family's 1533-position model. The record is from RNAcentral.
GACGAACGCUGGCGGCGUGCUUAACACAUGCAAGUCGAACGAUGAAGCCUAGCUUGCUAGGUGGAUUAGUGGCGAACGGGUGAGUAAUACGUGAGUAACCUACCUUUAACUCUGGGAUAAGCCCGGGAAACUGGGUCUAAUACCGGAUACGACCAAUCUCCGCAUGGGGUGUUGGUGGAAAGCGUUAUGUAGUGGUUAUAGAUGGGCUCACGGCCUAUCAGCUUGUUGGUGAGGUAACGGCUCACCAAGGCGACGACGGGUAGCCGGCCUGAGAGGGUGACCGGCCACACUGGGACUGAGACACGGCCCAGACUCCUACGGGAAGCAGCAGUGGGGAAUAUUGCACAAUGGGCGCAAGCCUGAUGCAGCGACGCCGCGUGAGGGAUGACGGCCUUCGGGUUGUAAACCUCUGUUAGCAGGGAAGAAGAGAGAUUGACGGUACCUGCAGAGAAAGCGCCGGCUAACUACGUG